GGGAUAUGAUGAGUGGUCAAAAUCUCGCAAUUUUGCGUGAAGGGUGUCCGCCUAAGCCUGGUUACGACAAUUGGGCACCCUAAUUUAUAACCAUCUGAUCCC
This is a small nucleolar RNA of Impatiens glandulifera, 102 nucleotides long. RefSeq annotates it as small nucleolar RNA Z279/snoR105/snoR108. The transcript has a single exon. NCBI's taxonomy places the organism in Eukaryota, Viridiplantae, Streptophyta, Magnoliopsida, Ericales, Balsaminaceae. The record is from RefSeq and is a predicted model, not a curated record.